AAAUGAACAAAGCAUGUUAUUGCUCACAGAGAUUCAAUUGUGCGUCAUCAUGCCUGUUCUGUCUGAUGCCUUCUUACUUUGAUGGGGGGCCCCAGUUUCCACAUACAUUC
Small nucleolar RNA from Malania oleifera, 110 nucleotides. RefSeq annotates it as small nucleolar RNA snoR100. The record is from RefSeq and is a predicted model, not a curated record. NCBI's taxonomy places the organism in Eukaryota, Viridiplantae, Streptophyta, Magnoliopsida, Santalales, Ximeniaceae. The transcript has a single exon.